Molecule: ribosomal RNA, 371 nt
Filed under: uncultured bacterium
Lineage: Bacteria
Description: bacterial SSU rRNA
Rfam family: Bacterial small subunit ribosomal RNA
Source: RNAcentral
GAAGGGUGCAAGCGUUACUCGGAAUUACUGGGCGUAAAGCGUGCGUAGGUGGUUUGUUAAGUCUGAUGUGAAAGCCCUGGGCUCAACCUGGGAACUGCAUUGGAAACUGGCUGACUAGAGUGCGGUAGAGGGGUGUGGAAUUCCCGGUGUAGCAGUGAAAUGCGUAGAUAUCGGGAGGAACAUCUGUGGCGAAGGCGACACCCUGGACCAGCACUGACACUGAGGCACGAAAGCGUGGGGAGCAAACAGGAUUAGAUACCCUGGUAGUCCACGCCCUAAACGAUGCGAACUGGAUGUUGGGGGCAACUUGGCCCUCAGUAUCGAAGCUAACGCGUUAAGUUCGCCGCCUGGGAAGUACGGUCGCAAGACUG